AUUGAACGCUGGCGGCAGGCCUAACACAUGCAAGUCGAGCGAGCGGCGGACGGGUGAGUAAUGUAUGGGGACUGCCCGAUAGAGGGGGAUAACUACUGGAAACGGUGGCUAAUACCGCAUACUAUCGGAUAACCCAUAUGGGAUUAGCUAGUAGGUGUGGUAAAGGCUCACCUAGGCGACGAUCUCUAGCGGGUCUGAGAGGAGGAUGAGCCAAAUUGGGACUGAGACACGGCCCAGAUUCCUCCGGAGGAAGCGGUGGGGAAUAUUGCACAAGGGGCGCAAGCCUGAUGCAGCCAUGCGGCGGGUAUGAAGAAGUCCUUAGGGUUGUAAAGUACUUUCAGAGGGGAGGCGUUACCCGCAGAAGAAGCACCGGCUAACUCCGUGCCAGCAGCCGCGGUAAUAC
This 403-nucleotide ribosomal RNA is filed under the name uncultured bacterium. RNAcentral describes it as "partial 16S ribosomal RNA". It matches the Rfam family "Bacterial small subunit ribosomal RNA", at positions 30 to 526 of the family's 1533-position model. The record is from RNAcentral.